GAUGAAGAACGCAGCGAAAUGCGAUAAGUAGUGUGAAUUGCAGAAUUCAGUGAAUCAUCGAAUCUUUGAACGCACAUUGCGCCCCUUGGUAUUCCAUGGGGCAUGCCUGUUCGAGCGUCAUUAAAAUCACUCAAGCUUAGGUUUACCUAUUGCUUGGUCUUGGAGAUGGAAGCCAAUUUAUUGGAAUCCUCUUCGAAAUUCAAUGGCGAAGACCCUUGCUCUCCCAAGUGUAGUAAUAACUUAUGUCACUGAAGGAAGCGAGAAAUCUUCUGCCGUAACCCCCAUAUUUUCUAUGAUUGACCUCGGAUCAGGUAGGGAUACCCGCUGAACUUAAGCAUAUCAAUAAGCGGAGGA
Molecule: unclassified non-coding RNA, 354 nt
Filed under: soil metagenome
Description: partial contains 5.8S ribosomal RNA, internal transcribed spacer 2, and large subunit ribosomal RNA
Rfam family: 5.8S ribosomal RNA (bases 1-120)
Source: RNAcentral